This 411-nucleotide ribosomal RNA is filed under the name Labeo catla (catla). RNAcentral describes it as "partial 12S ribosomal RNA". It matches the Rfam family "Bacterial small subunit ribosomal RNA", at positions 835 to 1409 of the family's 1533-position model. The record is from RNAcentral. Lineage: Eukaryota; Metazoa; Chordata; Actinopteri; Cypriniformes; Cyprinidae.
AGCGUUACACAUUAAAUCAAACUAAAAAUAAGAUGUCCGCCAGGGUACUACGAGCAUUAGCUUAAAACCCAAAGGACCUGACGGUGUCUCAGAUCCCCCUAGAGGAGCCUGUUCUAGAACCGAUAACCCCCGUUAAACCUCACCACCCCUAGCCAUCCCAGCCUAUAUACCGCCGUCGUCAGCUUACCCUGUGAAGGUAAUAAAAGUAAGCAAAAUGGAUACAACCCAGAACGUCAGGUCGAGGUGUAGCGCAUGAGGUGGAAAGAAAUGGGCUACAUUUUCUGCCACAGAACAUUACGAAUAUGUACCAUGAAAUGGUACUUGAAGGAGGAUUUAGUAGUAAAAAGGAAAUAGAGUGUCCUUUUGAACCCGGCUCUGAGACGCGUACACACCGCCCGUCCCCCCUCUAUA